This 274-nucleotide ribosomal RNA is filed under the name uncultured bacterium. Its description in RNAcentral is "partial 16S ribosomal RNA". It matches the Rfam family "Bacterial small subunit ribosomal RNA", at positions 523 to 796 of the family's 1533-position model. The record is from RNAcentral.
AUACGGAGGGUGCAAACGUUGUUCGGAAUCACUGGGCGUAAAGGGCGCGCAGGCGGUUUGGUAAGUCAGAUGUGAAAGCCCACGGCUCAACCGUGGAAGUGCAUUUGAAACUGUCAGACUUGAGUACUAGAGGGGAAAGUGGAAUUCCCGGUGUAGAGGUGAAAUUCGUAGAUAUCGGGAGGAAUACCGGUGGCGAAGGCGACUUUCUGGCUAGAUACUGACGCUGAGGCGCGAAAGCGUGGGGAGCAAACAGGAUUAGAAACCCCAGUAGUCC